CACGUAGGGCGCGAGCGUUGUCCGGAAUUAUUGGGCGUAAAGAGCUCGUAGGCGGCCUGUUGCGUCCGCUGUGAAAGCCCGGGGCUUAACCCCGGGUCUGCAGUGGAUACGGGCAGGCUAGAGGUAGGUAGGGGAGAAUGGAAUUCCCGGUGUAGCGGUGAAAUGCGCAGAUAUCGGGAGGAACACCGGUGGCGAAGGCGGUUCUCUGGGCCUUACCUGACGCUGAGGAGCGAAAGCGU
Molecule: ribosomal RNA, 239 nt
Filed under: uncultured bacterium
Lineage: Bacteria
Description: partial 16S ribosomal RNA
Rfam family: Bacterial small subunit ribosomal RNA
Source: RNAcentral